Molecule: transfer RNA, 85 nt
Filed under: Pseudomonadota bacterium
Lineage: Bacteria; Pseudomonadati; Pseudomonadota
Description: Proteobacteria bacterium (activated sludge metagenome) tRNA-Leu
Rfam family: tRNA
About the family: Transfer RNA (tRNA) molecules are approximately 80 nucleotides in length. Their secondary structure includes four short double-helical elements and three loops (D, anti-codon, and T loops). Further hydrogen bonds mediate the characteristic L-shaped molecular structure. tRNAs have two regions of fundamental functional importance: the anti-codon, which is responsible for specific mRNA codon recognition, and the 3' end, to which the tRNAs corresponding amino acid is attached (by aminoacyl-tRNA synthetases). tRNAs cope with the degeneracy of the genetic code in two manners: having more than one tRNA (with a specific anti-codon) for a particular amino acid; and 'wobble' base-pairing, i.e. permitting non-standard base-pairing at the 3rd anti-codon position.
Source: RNAcentral
GCCCGGGUGGUGGAACCGGCAGACACGAGGGACUUAAAAUCCCUUGCCCGUUCAGGGCGUGCGGGUUCGAUUCCCGCCCCGGGCA